UUUGUCUGUGAUGAUGAUCAGUAGUAUUUUUCGAGUUUUCAUUGACCAUGAGAAUGUCCUACAUGCACUACCAUCUGAGACAUC
Nerophis ophidion (straightnose pipefish) is the source of this 84-nucleotide small nucleolar RNA. Lineage: Eukaryota; Metazoa; Chordata; Actinopteri; Syngnathiformes; Syngnathidae. The record is from RefSeq and is a predicted model, not a curated record.